This 1533-nucleotide ribosomal RNA is filed under the name Triticum aestivum (bread wheat). RNAcentral describes it as "partial small subunit ribosomal RNA". The record is from RNAcentral. Lineage: Eukaryota; Viridiplantae; Streptophyta; Magnoliopsida; Poales; Poaceae.
AUGGAGCUCCCAUCCCUCCCCUGGAGUGCGUCAAGGUCCUUCUUCCCCUCCCCGCAGCAUAAAAACCUUGUGAUUGAUUCAUGGUCAUGGCACAACAACAAUGGAUACUUGCUAAUUGGUGAUGGUGGUCGUGCCGCUGCCGCCUUCGGCACCAUCCCAGCUCGCAGCCUCAGUCGAUUUGCUCUGCGUCUCCAACCGUCCAAAGAUCCCAACCCUAUCAUCGUCUCCUACCACGAGCUCGGCAACGAGAUCGGACAUGGCAAGUUCGGCUCCGUUCGGAUCUAUGGUAGGAAGACCUGUGAAAUCCAACUCGCCGUUAGGCCUUUUCUGUCGCCUUCUCUCUGGUUCGUGCUGAUCGGGUGGGUGGCCCUGGUGAACUACGGCAAGGACUACGGCCGCCUCGUCGUCAUCGUCGACGUUGUUGACCAGAACAGGAACGUCGAGGACACGGUCCACCGCGAGGUCGAGAUCAUGCAACACCUCUCGGGCCACCCCGCCGUCGUCACGCUGAAGGCCAUCUGCGGUGGUUGCAAAUCGAAGUUGCAGCUGGGCGUGGUGUGGAGCGGGCAUGCCUCUGUGCUGCGCGUGCUGCCGGUGGCAUGCGUCCUGAAAGGGACAAGGCGGUUGGGAGUCAGGGACUACAUAUCCCUCCUCUCCUUGAUUUUCUGUCCAAAAUAUAAGUGUGAUGAAGUUCAGCACUAUGGCUGCCAUUAUGUGUUAUGUAAUGGUCUAUGCAUUAACUUGAUCAUGGGAUUCUCCGUGAUGGCAGCAAAGAGACAACAUGGGGUGGAGAUGCAGGUCGUCAGUACACUGAAGGCGUUGCGUUCUGUCAGGGCGUUGGGUCCGAUGCAGAGCAUCGGAGACGUUGCCGUUGUCCUUGCACGACUCAUCAGAUCCAACCUCGGGCCCGCGCCAGCUAUGUACGGAGCCCUCGAUACGGUGCUCAGUCUCUGCAACUGCAACUUGAUGACUUUGUUGAGGCUUUUCUGCGGGGUCAGGGGAGACACCAGUGAUCAAGCGGCAGCGGCCUACAGCCUGGGAGACCUGCACAAGGGAGCCGCCAAGAUCUCCAACGACAUCCUCGACUCUGUCGGUAACCAGUUCUUGCCUCUUGAUAGUUUCUUUUUGCAAAGACAAUGGGUUGAGUGCCCAACAUUCCCGAAGAUGGCACCCGAGACGUGUCCGCAGCCAGAAGCAGCGAAGUUGCCGUACAAGAAGCUGGGAGAUUCAGAUCUCCUUAUUAGCGAGAUAACUCUUGGAACACAAAGAACAGAGAAGGAAUCCCAUGAUAUGCUCUCUUAUUCUUUUAAUCAGGGCAUCAACAUACUGGACACCGCAGAAAUUGCCGAGUAUAUGCAUAAGACAGCCGAAGAUAGCAGACAGCGACAAAAAGUGAAUGAAAAGUGUGGCCACCUAUCUGCCACCGCACAUGCACGCCUCAAGCGGCGCCACCUGGUGGCGCUCCAACCACUAGUUACUUUUACUUGUCCACCUUUGGAACUCCCCAAGCUGAUCAACAGUAGCCGAACUUGA